Molecule: ribosomal RNA, 482 nt
Filed under: uncultured bacterium
Lineage: Bacteria
Description: bacterial SSU rRNA
Rfam family: Bacterial small subunit ribosomal RNA
Source: RNAcentral
AGAGUUUGAUCAUGGCUCAGGAUAAACGCUGGCGGCGCACAUAAGACAUGCAAGUCGAACGGACUUAAUCGAUUCUUUUAGAUUCGAAGCGGUUAGUGGCGGACUGGUGAGUAACACGUAAGCAACCUACCUAUUAGAGGGGAAUAACAGUGAGAAAUCACUGCUAAAACCGCAUAUGCCGUGAACAUCGCAUGAUGAAAACGGGAAAAGAGCAAUCUGCUAAUAGAUGGGCUUGCGUCUGAUUAGCUAGUUGGUGUGGUAACGGCAUACCAAGGCAACGAUCAGUAGCCGGACUGAGAGGUUGAACGGCCACAUUGGGACUGAGAUACGGCCCAGACUCCUACGGGAGGCAGCAGUCGGGAAUAUUGCGCAAUGGAGGAAACUCUGACGCAGUGACGCCGCGUAUGGGAAGAAGGUUUUCGGAUUGUAAACCAUUUUAGACAAGGAAGAAACAAGACAGUACUUGUAGAAUAAGCUCCCGG